Molecule: ribosomal RNA, 460 nt
Filed under: uncultured bacterium
Lineage: Bacteria
Description: partial 16S ribosomal RNA
Rfam family: Bacterial small subunit ribosomal RNA
Source: RNAcentral
CUACGGGAGGCUGCAGUCGAGAAUCUUCCGCAAUGGACGAAAGUCUGACGGAGCGACGCCGCGUGCGGGAUGAAGGCCUUCGGGUUGUAAACCGCUGUCAGUGGGGAGGAAAUGCAUCAGGGUUCUCCCUGGCGUUUGACCGAUCCGCAGAGGAAGCGCAGGCUAAGUUCGUGCCAGCAGCCGCGGUAACACGAACUACGCGAACGUUAUUCGGAAUCACUGGGCUUAAAGAGUUCGUAGGCGGCCUUUCAAGUCGGGUGUGAAAUCCCUCGGCUCAACCGAGGAAUUGCGCCUGAUACUGUUGGGCUUGAGGGGGAUAGGGGUGAGCGGAACUGAUGGUGGAGCGGUGAAAUGCGUUGAUAUCAUCAGGAACACCGGUGGCGAAGGCGGCUCACUGGAUCUCUUCUGACGCUGAGGAACGAAAGCUAGGGGGGCGAACGGGAUAGAUACCCGGGUAGUC